RNA transcript from Zingiber officinale, 2705 nucleotides. It is a transcript of the gene named CD2 antigen cytoplasmic tail-binding protein 2-like, with no coding region annotated. The record is from RefSeq and is a predicted model, not a curated record. Lineage: Eukaryota; Viridiplantae; Streptophyta; Magnoliopsida; Zingiberales; Zingiberaceae. The transcript is spliced from 10 exons.
UAGUGGAAGCUGUCGGAUCAAACCAACCGACCGAGUCACCGAAGGCCAUGGCGAAUAGAGGCGAAAAGCUGCCGCUUCCUCUCAGAGAGUUUGAUCCGCCGAAAGGACAGACGCAGAGGCAGGUUAAAUUUCCGAAGGGCAAGAAGGCGAAGCGUGUGGACGCCGACGGAAUCCAGGACGGGAACGGUGAGAAGAAGAGAUGGAUGGACCCCAGUCUCGCUGCCAAGGAGCGUUCCAAGCGCCGCAACAAAAUGCGAGAAAGCGAAGUCUUGGGUGACCAGGUGGACGGCCUUUCCGGCGAAGUGCAGUACGAGGAUAAUACUAACUUUGAGGAUGAUGGUAUUCAAAUAGAACCAUUCAAUUUGAAGCAAGAGAGGGAGGAAGGCUAUUUUGAUGCAAAUGGAAAUUUUGUUGAGUAUGCUAAACAAAAUGAAAUCAAGGAUGCAUGGCUAGAUAGUGUUGUAGUUGAUACCAAGUUGGCAGGAAAGUUUAAGCCAAAAGCAUCUGCAGAGGAGGCAUAUGAUGAUCUGUCUUCAGAUGAUGUUGGAAAAAUAAAAAGGAGAAUAGCAAAUGCACUUCAACCUGGAGAAACAAUAAUUCAAGCUCUAAAAAGGCUGAAAGGCCCUUCAACGGAUAAGAAAGCAAAGAUGUUAGAGACUUCAAAAUGGAUUUUUGAUCAACUCACUGAAGAUGCUAUGAAACUGAUGGAGAAUGGAGAGUACAAUGUUUACUAUGAAGAUCAGGAGACUUUUGUUCGGGAGGCAGAAGGAUAUGAGCGUUUAGCUCAUGCAAAGGCAGACAAAUCAAAUAGAACAACACAUGCUGAACCGACUGAUGGAGAAGAUAUAUUUUCUGAUGAUGUUCAGCAUAGAGAACAAGUAUCAUCUAUAUGGGACAUUCGUCCUGGAACUUCAGUACUUGCAGAUUCUGCUCAACAAGCAUCACCAGGUGAUGGUGGUGAUCAGUUUGACAUGUUUGGGGAUGAUGACGAUACUACCAAUGUGAAUCCACCCACCCCAAGUGCUGUCAGCUCUGCUUCAGAUUUUCGACAAGAUAAUCAACCUACAUCAAAACCCUUAAGUUCUUCCGAAGACUUGGACUCUGGAGAUGUCAGUCAUGGAAGGGCUGAAAAUGAUUAUGUAUAUGAUGAAUCAUCAGGUUACUACUACAAUAACAGCUUUGGUUAUUAUUAUGACUCAACCUCGGGAAUGUACUGUUCUGCUACAACAGGGACAUGGUAACUUUACCUCUUUCAUGUGAUGCAGUAAAUCAUUUUGGUCUUCUGAGUUUCUUGUGAUAGUAUUAGUUGUAUCCAAGAAUGAACUUGUCACAAAAAAAUCUGAUGGUUAUCUGCUCAUCCCCUGAUAGUAAAAAUGAACUGGGGUUUCAGCUGAAUCCAAUCUGAAUCUGAUUUGUGCCUGGCUCUAGCCUACAGCGACAUUAAAUUGAUUUCCACCUAUCGGUGAUUUCAAGUAGCAAACUAAACACCUGACUAUACCCAAAAUUAAAAAAAACACCAAUAGUUCUUAAAACACUCGUUUUAGCCAGAAAAAUAUCCAAUUUAAUUCCAAUAAAUUAAAAUCUAAUAAUCCCUAAAUAUAUCUUAGUGAAGGUUAUGAGUAUAACAAAGAGUCUACUUAAAGUUGAACUGCAUGGUUUGAGAACAGCAAGCACAGGCUCCAAACUGUGGGGAGCUUCAGGGUAUGUUGAGAAUCCCUUCUUGCACAUUGGUGAUUGGCAUCACAGGAGGAAAGUGAGGGAGACGUCAACGUGGCAAGUAGUGGAGAGGAUGGUGGCAUCGCUAGGGUUUUCUCCAGCUCUUGAGACAACAAAGAGGGGAGGAGCAGGAGAUCCCGCAGUCACUGGCACUGGAGGAGCAGCAGCCAUGCAAUGACGACGGGCUGCAGAAGGCGGGCUUUCUGUAUGUGAUAAAGGUAGGAGAUGCUGCACUGCACAGAAAUCUUGUUCUAGAGGAAGACAAUUGUUUGUUGUUGAUGUCAGUGUGUGGAUGGAAUUGUGGCUUGGAUUAGAGCAUUAUUCUAUGUCAGUCAAUAUGGGUGAAACUUCUCAUUUUGCUCGCCCGUCAGCAUAUGGAACAGCUUUGAGAUGAUGCCUAAAGUUUGACUUCUUGUGGCCAUGGAGAUGGCCUUCGUGCAGAAUUGUUGACCUUAGGUGAGACCAGUGAUCUUUGCAUGAGACGGUGAGGACUUCUAUGAGGUCCCAAGAUAGUGAUGGACUUCAAUCAUGGUUCAUGAUGAAUUGAUGAUGACAAAAUUGCUGACCUCAGGCAAAAUCAAUGACCUUUGCGCAAGAUUCAUGAGACUGAUUAUAGUUUCCACAUGGUCCCGAUACUGAGAUGGCUUUGCUCACAGUUUGCAAUGACAGCAAAGGCUUCGGUCAUUCCCAGGAUGAUGACAAAGGCUUUGCUCGUGGUCCGUGAUAACAACCCAACUUUGGUGGUGUAUGUGAUGCCUCUGCAAGGUCAACAAUCAUGGUACACAUAUGAUGAGCAAAAUGAUACCUACACAGAAAUACAGAGCUCAACAACAGGAAGCUGAAGACGUCCCAUCCUUAGACGGAUCAAAAGGGUGUAAAUCUAACUACCUAAUCCUUGCUUACAGAACUUCAACUGUGGUUUAUCCACUGUAUACAUUCUAGAGCAUGGACAAAGAAAAAGGUUCUUACAACGUCUCAGUUUUUCAUCA